This 433-nucleotide ribosomal RNA is filed under the name uncultured bacterium. RNAcentral's name for it is "partial 16S ribosomal RNA". It matches the Rfam family "Bacterial small subunit ribosomal RNA", at positions 29 to 507 of the family's 1533-position model. The record is from RNAcentral.
AACGAACGCUGGCGGCAGGCUUAACACAUGCAAGUCGAACGGAUCCUUCGGGAUUAGUGGCAGACGGGUGAGUAACGCGUGGGAACGUACCCUUUGCUACGGAAUAACUCAGGGAAACUUGAGCUACUACCGUAUGUGCCCUACGGGGGAAAGAUUUAUCGGCAAAGGAUCGGCCCGCGUUGGAUUAGCUAGUUGGUGGGGUAAUGGCCUACCAAGGCGACGCUCCAUAGCUGGUCUGAGAGGAUGAUCAGCCACACUGGGACUGAGACACGGCCCAGACUCAUACGGGAGGAAGCAGUGGGGAAUAUUGGACAAUGGGCGCAAGCCUGAUCCAGCCAUGCCGCGUGAGUGAUGAAGGUCUUAGGAUUGUAAAGCUCUUUCACCGGUGAAGAUAAUGACGGUAGCCGGAUAAGAAGCCCCGGCUAACUUCGUG